GUUGCCAUAAUGUUUAUUAAAAACAAGCGUUGGCGUAAUUUGAGAUCGAUCUAUUUUGAUAACACAUAAACGCAGCAAUGGUGUAAGACGGUGUGUAAAAUCAAAAUAAAUUAUUGAAUGUGAACAAAGGUUUACUGGAUUAGCUAAACUGUACAUUGAACGGAUAAAUUCAGCAACAGUACUAACUUUAAGAAUGCAGCAUUUUAUUUAAACGUAGCUUCGCCGAAAAAUUGCGUUUCAAUACAACCGUCAACCUCGAGGUUGACGAUUUUGUAAAAGUCACGAAACCAUCGGUCAACAGUAACCAUUUUUAGUCGCAACUUUUUUGACUUA
This 333-nucleotide non-coding RNA is filed under the name Arsenophonus endosymbiont of Aleurodicus floccissimus. Lineage: Bacteria; Pseudomonadati; Pseudomonadota; Gammaproteobacteria; Enterobacterales; Morganellaceae. The record is from RNAcentral.